Molecule: ribosomal RNA, 864 nt
Filed under: uncultured bacterium
Lineage: Bacteria
Description: bacterial SSU rRNA
Rfam family: Bacterial small subunit ribosomal RNA
Source: RNAcentral
GUUUGAUCAUGGCUCAGGACGAACGCUGGCGGUGUGCCUCACACAUGCAAGUCGAACGGGGUAGCAAUACCCAGUGGCGGACGGGUGAGUAACACGUGGGAAUCUGCCUUUAGAUGGGGGAUAGCAGGCCGAAAGGCCUAUUAAUACCGCAUAUGCCGAAAGGUGAAAGUAGCAAUACGUCUGAAGAUGAGCCCGCGCCCGAUUAGCUAGUUGGUAAGGUAAAGGCUUACCAAGGCUACGAUCGGUAGCUGGUCUGAGAGGAUGAUCAGCCACAAUGGAACUGAGACACGGUCCAUACUCCUACGGGAGGCAGCAGUGGGGAAUUUUACACAAUGGGCGAAAGCCUGAUGUAGCGACACCGCGUGAGCGAAGAAGCCUUUUGGGGUGUAAAGCUCUGUCAGCAGGGACGAAAAAAAUGACGGUACCUGCAGAGGAAGCAUCGGCUAACUACGUGCCAGCAGCCGCGGUAAGACGUAGGAUGCGAGCGUUGUCCGGAUUUAUUGGGCGUAAAGAGUUCGUAGGCGGUUCGUUAAGUCUGAUGUUAAAGACUGGGGCUCAACCCUGGGAGUGCAUUGGAUACUGGCGGACUGGAGUGCAGUAGAGGCAAGCGGAAUUCCCAGUGUAGCGGUGAACUGCGUAGAUAUUGGGAAGAACACCGGUGGCGCAAGCGGCUUGCUGGGCUGUAACUGACGCUGAGGAACGAAAGCUAGGGGAGCGAAUGGGAUUAGAUACCCCAGUAGUCCUAGCCGUAAACGAUGGAUACUAGGCGUAUCGGGUAUCGACCCCUGAUGUGCCGCAGCAAACGCGAUAAGUAUCCCGCCUGAGUAGUACGGCCGCAAGGUUGAAACUCAAAGGAAUUGACGG